This 258-nucleotide non-coding RNA is filed under the name Virgibacillus chiguensis. Its description in RNAcentral is "T-box sequence". It matches the Rfam family "T-box leader". From Rfam's summary of the family: Uncharged tRNA acts as the effector for transcription antitermination of genes in the T-box leader family. The record is from RNAcentral. Lineage: Bacteria; Bacillati; Bacillota; Bacilli; Caryophanales; Bacillaceae.
CUACAUUCAUUGACGAGAAUGAGUAAGCGUAAUGAUGGUUCUCCAGAGAGUUGGCAUUCUUGCUGUAAGCCAAUGUUCCACUUAUGUUGAAGAUCCUCUCCGAGAAGAAAAGCUGAUCCUGUAAGUAAGCUUUUCCGGAAUCCUCACCGUUAUCAUAGAGGCGCGUAUGAAAUGUACGUUGAUGAGUGCCGGAGAACAUGGUUUACAUCGAUAACUCUGGAACCAGGGUGGUAACGCGGGUUUAAGCUCGUCCCUAAU